GGUUCCAUAGUUGAAUGGUGCAAUGACUGGUUCGUAAACAGUUGAUAAAGGUUCGAUUCCUUUUGGAACCUUA
This 73-nucleotide transfer RNA is filed under the name Caudoviricetes sp. RNAcentral describes it as "tRNA-Thr". It matches the Rfam family "tRNA". From Rfam's summary of the family: Transfer RNA (tRNA) molecules are approximately 80 nucleotides in length. Their secondary structure includes four short double-helical elements and three loops (D, anti-codon, and T loops). Lineage: Duplodnaviria; Heunggongvirae; Uroviricota; Caudoviricetes. The record is from RNAcentral.